UGAAACAUAUUUCUAUUCCAUUCUCAAAUAGUAUAAGCUUAACGUUCUAUUACCAAUGUUAAACAAAGGACCAUAUAAAAUAAUAUGAAUGAUGAUGAAUCACAAUACAAUGGCAAAUUUAUGCAUCCGUUGACCUAAAUAUUUAAAACAAAUAGGUGAUCAUUGUGGCGACAUUAUAAACAACAAGUCAACAACACAAAUAAAAUAAAUGAAUUAAUAAUUACAAAGAUAACAAAAUUUCACUAUAAAUAGACUGCAAAUUUCAAUCCAGUUUCCACAACAGACAAUCAAAGCUUAAAGCCAAAGAAAAAGAAAAAGAAAAAGAAAGCACGAGAAGAAAUGGCAAAGAUAUCCAACUUUGCAUGCUUGACCACAACCGUUUUACUUGUCUUCUUGGUUGUUUCCAAUGGAAUCCCGAAGAGCAACGCAUGUCAUACAUUCUUAGGUGAAUGCGAUGUGCCAUCACCAUGUACUGAAACCAAUUGUGAAGCCUGUUGUCUAUCAAAGUUUGGAGCUCUCCAUUGUGACGGUGUGUGUGAAGUUGAAGGUACGGAAGAACACUGCCACUGCUAUGGACAGCCAUGAAAAUUUAAUCAACCACCAAGCAAAUAUACGUGCAAAACAUCUCGCUUUAUCACUUUGUUUGUAAUUCACGUAUCUGUGCAUAAAUAAUAGAUGGGGGAGUUGUCCCACUGCUCAAGCCUAUUUAUACAUGUACUCUUGUGUUGUGUGCUCUUUUAAUAAAAUACAUCUGAUGUUUGUUUGUAA
Raphanus sativus (radish) is the source of this 768-nucleotide long non-coding RNA. RefSeq lists it as uncharacterized. Lineage: Eukaryota; Viridiplantae; Streptophyta; Magnoliopsida; Brassicales; Brassicaceae. The transcript is spliced from 2 exons. The record is from RefSeq and is a predicted model, not a curated record.